Non-coding RNA from Aspergillus glaucus CBS 516.65, 87 nucleotides. The record is from the annotation of a RefSeq genome assembly. Lineage: Eukaryota; Fungi; Ascomycota; Eurotiomycetes; Eurotiales; Aspergillaceae.
AGUCGCGUGGUCUAAUGGUUAUGAUAUCUCGUUCACAACUUGAACUUUGAUCCGAGAUGGUUCCCGGUUCGAUCCCGGGCGCGACUA